This 305-nucleotide ribosomal RNA is filed under the name uncultured bacterium. RNAcentral describes it as "bacterial SSU rRNA". It matches the Rfam family "Bacterial small subunit ribosomal RNA", at positions 338 to 660 of the family's 1533-position model. The record is from RNAcentral.
CCUACGGGGGGCAGCAGUGGGGGAUAUUGCACAAUGGGGGGAACCCUGAUGCAGCGACGCCGCGUGGGUGAAGGAGCGUUUCGGCGCGUAAAGCCCUAUCGGCAGGGAAGAAGAUGACGGUAUCUGACCAAGAAGCCCCGGCUAACUACGUGCCAGCAGCCGCGGUAAUACGUAGGGGGCAAGCGUUAUCCGGAUUUACUGGGUGUAAAGGGAGCGUAGACGGCAGCACAAGUCUGGAGUGAAAUCCCGGGGCUUAACCCCGGAACUGCUUUGGAAACUGUGCGGCUGGAGUGCAGGAGGGGUAA